Molecule: ribosomal RNA, 412 nt
Filed under: uncultured Methanosaeta sp.
Lineage: Archaea; Methanobacteriati; Methanobacteriota; Methanomicrobia; Methanotrichales; Methanotrichaceae
Description: bacterial SSU rRNA
Rfam family: Archaeal small subunit ribosomal RNA
Source: RNAcentral
CCCACCGGGGCGACAGCAAUAUGAAGGUCAGGCUGAAGACCUUACCCGAUUAGCUGAGAGGUGGUGCAUGGCCGUCGUCAGUUCGUACUGUGAAGCAUCCUGUUAAGUCAGGCAACGAGCGAGACCCACGUCCACAGUUGCCAGCAUACCCUCCGGGGUGAUGGGUACACUGUGGAGACCGCCGCUGCUAAAGCGGAGGAAGGAGUGGGCAACGGUAGGUCAGUAUGCCCCGAAUCUCCCGGGCUACACGCGGGCUACAAUGGUUGGUACAAUGGGCAUCUACCCCGAAAGGGGAAGGAAAUCUCUUAAAGCCAAUCGUAGUUCGGAUUGAGGGCUGCAACUCGCCCUCAUGAAGCUGGAAUCCGUAGUAAUCGCGUUUCAACAGAACGCGGUGAAUACGUCCCUGCUCCUU